AUUGAACGCUGGCGGCAUGGCUAAAACAUGCAAGUCGAACGAGAACCCCGCAAGGGGGGACAGUGGCGGAAGGGCGAGUAAUGCAUUCGAACGUGCCCCGAGGUGUGGGAUAGGCAUGGGAAACUGUGCGUAAUACCACAUGUGAUCUCCGGAUGAAAGCCGAAAGGCGCCUUGGGAGCGGCGAAUGUCCUAUCAGGUAGUUGGUGGGGUAAUGGCCUACCAAGCCUAAGACGGGUAGCCGGUGUGAGAGCACGGCCGGCCGCAUCGGGACUGAGACACUGCCCGGACUCCUACGGGAGGCUGCAGUAACGAAUAUUCCGCAAUGGGCGAAAGCCUGACGGAGCAAUGCCGCGUGCAGGAUGAAGCGGUUUCGCCGUGUAAACUGCUGUCAGGUCCUAGGAACACUGACCGGGACCAGAGGAAGGGUCGGCUAACUCUGUG
RNAcentral lists this ribosomal RNA (441 nucleotides) under uncultured bacterium. RNAcentral's name for it is "bacterial SSU rRNA". It matches the Rfam family "Bacterial small subunit ribosomal RNA", at positions 29 to 507 of the family's 1533-position model. The record is from RNAcentral. RNAcentral also lists the same sequence under 1 other name.